Molecule: ribosomal RNA, 511 nt
Filed under: uncultured bacterium
Lineage: Bacteria
Description: bacterial SSU rRNA
Rfam family: Bacterial small subunit ribosomal RNA
Source: RNAcentral
UUUCCAGAGAUGGAUUGGUGCCUUCGGGAACUCUGAGACAGGUGCUGCAUGGCUGUCGUCAGCUCGUGUUGUGAAAUGUUGGGUUAAGUCCCGCAACGAGCGCACCCUUAUCCUUUGUUGCCAGCGGUUAGGCCGGGAACUCAAAGGAGACUGCCAGUGAUAAACUGGAGGAAGGUGGGGAUGACGUCAAGUCAUCAUGGCCCUUACGAGUAGGGCUACACACGUGCUACAAUGGCGCAUACAAAGAGAAGCGACCUCGCGAGAGCAAGCGGACCUCAUAAAGUGCGUCGUAGUCCGGAUUGGAGUCUGCAACUCGACUCCAUGAAGUCGGAAUCGCUAGUAAUCGUGGAUCAGAAUGCCACGGUGAAUACGUUCCCGGGCCUUGUACACACCGCCCGUCACACCAUGGGAGUGGGUUGCAAAAGAAGUAGGUAGCUUAACCUUCGGGAGGGCGCUUACCACUUUGUGAUUCAUGACUGGGGUGAAGUCGUAACAAGGUAGGCGUAGUGCU